GUUUCCAUAGUGUAGUGGUUAUCACAUUCGCCUAACAUGUGAAAGGUCCCUGGUUCGAGACUGGGUGGAAAUA
Molecule: non-coding RNA, 73 nt
Organism: Nerophis ophidion (straightnose pipefish)
Lineage: Eukaryota; Metazoa; Chordata; Actinopteri; Syngnathiformes; Syngnathidae
Source: the annotation of a RefSeq genome assembly